This 1439-nucleotide ribosomal RNA is filed under the name Streptomyces phaeochromogenes. RNAcentral describes it as "bacterial SSU rRNA". It matches the Rfam family "Bacterial small subunit ribosomal RNA". Lineage: Bacteria; Bacillati; Actinomycetota; Actinomycetes; Kitasatosporales; Streptomycetaceae. The record is from RNAcentral.
GUUAAACAUGCAAGUCGAACGAUGAAGCCCUUCGGGGUGGAUUAGUGGCGAACGGGUGAGUAACACGUGGGCAAUCUGCCCUUCACUCUGGGACAAGCCCUGGAAACGGGGUCUAAUACCGGAUAAUACCUGCCUGGGCAUCUGGGUGGGUUAAAAGCUCCGGCGGUGAAGGAUGAGCCCGCGGCCUAUCAGCUUGUUGGUGAGGUAGUGGCUCACCAAGGCGACGACGGGUAGCCGGCCUGAGAGGGCGACCGGCCACACUGGGACUGAGACACGGCCCAGACUCCUACGGGAGGCAGCAGUGGGGAAUAUUGCACAAUGGGCGAAAGCCUGAUGCAGCGACGCCGCGUGAGGGAUGACGGCCUUCGGGUUGUAAACCUCUUUCAGCAGGGAAGAAGCGAAAGUGACGGUACCUGCAGAAGAAGCGCCGGCUAACUACGUGCCAGCAGCCGCGGUAAUACGUAGGGCGCAAGCGUUGUCCGGAAUUAUUGGGCGUAAAGAGCUCGUAGGCGGCUUGUCACGUCGGUUGUGAAAGCCCGGGGCUUAACCCCGGGUCUGCAGUCGAUACGGGCAGGCUAGAGUGUGGUAGGGGAGAUCGGAAUUCCUGGUGUAGCGGUGAAAUGCGCAGAUAUCAGGAGGAACACCGGUGGCGAAGGCGGAUCUCUGGGCCAUUACUGACGCUGAGGAGCGAAAGCGUGGGGAGCGAACAGGAUUAGAUACCCUGGUAGUCCACGCCGUAAACGGUGGGAACUAGGUGUUGGCGACAUUCCACGUCGUCGGUGCCGCAGCUAACGCAUUAAGUUCCCCGCCUGGGGAGUACGGCCGCAAGGCUAAAACUCAAAGGAAUUGACGGGGGCCCGCACAAGCAGCGGAGCAUGUGGCUUAAUUCGACGCAACGCGAAGAACCUUACCAAGGCUUGACAUCGCCCGGAAAGCAUCAGAGAUGGUGCCCCCCUUGUGGUCGGGUGACAGGUGGUGCAUGGCUGUCGUCAGCUCGUGUCGUGAGAUGUUGGGUUAAGUCCCGCAACGAGCGCAACCCUUGUUCUGUGUUGCCAGCAUGCCCUUCGGGGUGAUGGGGACUCACAGGAGACUGCCGGGGUCAACUCGGAGGAAGGUGGGGACGACGUCAAGUCAUCAUGCCCCUUAUGUCUUGGGCUGCACACGUGCUACAAUGGCAGGUACAAUGAGCUGCGAUGCCGCGAGGCGGAGCGAAUCUCAAAAAGCCUGUCUCAGUUCGGAUUGGGGUCUGCAACUCGACCCCAUGAAGUCGGAGUUGCUAGUAAUCGCAGAUCAGCAUUGCUGCGGUGAAUACGUUCCCGGGCCUUGUACACACCGCCCGUCACGUCACGAAAGUCGGUAACACCCGAAGCCGGUGGCCCAACCCCCUUGUGGGGAGGGAGCUGUCGAAGGUGGGACUGGCGAUUGGGACGAAGUCGUAC